AGGGUUUGAUCAUGGCUCAGAACGUACGCUGGCGGCACGCCUAACACAUGCAAGUCGAACGCAGUAGCAAUACUGAGUGGCAGUCGGGUGAGUAACAUGUGGGAAUCUGCCUUGUGGUUCAGGACAACAUUGGGAAACCGAUGCUAAUACUGGAUAAGCCCUUACGGGGAAAGUUUUAAUGCCAUAAGAUGAGCCCGCAUUUGAUUAGUUAGUUGGUGAGGUAAUGGCUCACCAAGACAAUGAUCAAUAGCUGAUCUGAGAGGAUGAUCAGCCACACUGGGACUGAGACACGGCCCAGACUCCUACGGGAGGCAGCAGUGGGGAAUCUUGCACAAUGGAGGAAACUCUGAUGCAGCGAUGCCGCGUGAGUGAAGAAGGCCUUUGGGUUGUAAAGCUCUUUUGUAGGGGAAGAUAAUGACUGUACCCUAAGAAUAAGGUCCGGCUAACUUCGUGCCAGCAGCCGCGGUAAUACGAAGGGACCUAGCGUAGUUCGGAAUUACUGGGCGUAAAGCGCGCGUAGGCCGUUGAGUUAGUUAAUUGUGAAAUCCCAAAGCUUAACUUUGGAACUGCAAUUAAAACUGCUCGACUAGAGUUUGAUAGAGGAAAGCGGAAUACAUAGUGUAGAGGUGAAAUUCGUAGAUAUUAUGUAGAACACCAGUUGCGAAGGCGGCUUUCUGGGUCAACACUGACGCUGAGGCGCGAAAGUAUGGGUAGCAAAGAGGAUUAGAUACCCUCGUAGUCCAUACCAUAAACGAUGAUUGCUAGAUGUUGGAAAUUUAUUUUCAGUAUCGCAGCUAACGCAUUAAGCAAUCCGCCUGGGGAGUACGACCGCAAGGUUAAAACUCAAAUGAAUUGACGGGGACCCGCACAAGCGGUGGAGCAUGUGGUUUAAUUCGAAGAUACGCGCAGAACCUUACCAACCCUUGACAUGUCUGUCGCGAGUUUAGGAAACUAGACUUUUCGGUUCGGCCGGACAGAACACAGGUGCUGCAUGGCUGUCGUCAGCUCGUGUCGUGAGAUGUUGGGUUAAGUCCCGCAACGAGCGCAACCCUUGUCUUUAGUUGCUACGCAAGAGCACUCUAAAGAGACUGCCGGUGACAAACCGGAGGAAGGUGGGGAUGACGUCAAGUCCUCAUGGCCCUUAUGGGUAGGGCUUCACACGUCAUACAAUGGUGCGUACAGAGGGUUGCCAACCCGCGAGGGGGAGCUAAUCUCUUAAAACGCAUCGUAGUCCGGAUCGUAGUCUGCAACUCGACUACGUGAAGCUGGAAUCGCUAGUAAUCGCGGAUCAGCAUGUCGCGGUGAAUACGUUCCCGGGUCUUGUACACACCGCCCGUCACACCAUGGGAGUGGGUUUUGCCAGAAGCAGUUAGCCUAACCGUAAGGGGGGCGAUUGCCACGGCAGGGUUCAUGACUGGGGUGAAGUCAUAACAAGGUAACCGUA
Molecule: ribosomal RNA, 1444 nt
Filed under: uncultured bacterium
Lineage: Bacteria
Description: partial 16S ribosomal RNA
Rfam family: Bacterial small subunit ribosomal RNA
Source: RNAcentral